Molecule: non-coding RNA, 227 nt
Organism: Pelobates cultripes (western spadefoot toad)
Lineage: Eukaryota; Metazoa; Chordata; Amphibia; Anura; Pelobatidae
Source: the annotation of a GenBank genome assembly
CACCGCCGAAGUCACGCAGCGCCUCUGGAAGUUCUGUGACAUCAAGCCUGUCAUUAGUUCCCCAGACUAAUGGGCUCUGCGAACGUUUCAACGGUACAUUGAAACAAAUGCUCCGAACAUUCGCAGAGACCCACAAGGACUGGGAGAAAUUCCUGCCUCACCUCCUCUUUGCUUACAGGGAGGUGCCGCAGGAAUCCACGGGGUUCUCCCCAUUCAAAUUAUUGUUU